AGUAGAGUGGCCGAGGAUAGGCGGUAAACUGUAAAUUUACAUACGAAAUUAUUUCCUCUACUA
Molecule: transfer RNA, 63 nt
Filed under: Miridiba trichophora
Lineage: Eukaryota; Metazoa; Arthropoda; Insecta; Coleoptera; Scarabaeidae
Description: tRNA-Tyr
Source: RNAcentral